RNA transcript from Branchiostoma floridae (Florida lancelet), 1644 nucleotides. It is a transcript of the gene named probable serine/threonine-protein kinase drkA, with no coding region annotated. The record is from RefSeq and is a predicted model, not a curated record. Lineage: Eukaryota; Metazoa; Chordata; Leptocardii; Amphioxiformes; Branchiostomatidae. The transcript is spliced from 3 exons.
CACCUUUUUGAUUGGAGGCUAAUAUUAUUCACAUCUAGUAGUACUUUCAAUGCCUUAUAUGAAUGAUCAUGACCUCUGCAGUCAGUAACUGUUUUUAUUCCUCUCCAUGAAACUACUUUAUUGCGGCCUGUCAACAUCACUCAACUAAAAUCUUGAAGGGUUGAAAUCCUUAGGACAAAAAGACAGGAACAAUAUUUAGUUUAUUUGUAUUUUUACUAAUUUUGGCACACAUUACCACCAUUUUAGCAACCAACUCAUUACUCUUGGAUGUUGAAAAAAAUUCAUGCUGAAGAUUUGUUUAAUGUACAAACUUAAGGUGACCAAGGACAACACUGUGAAGCUUGCUGACGUUGGACUGACCAAACGAGAGAAGAUCACAGGUACACCAACUGGGACACCCCUUUAUGCUGCUCCUGAAGUAAAGGAACGUAAAGUGUACGACAAGAGUGCAGACAUCUACAGCCUGGGGCUCAUCCUGUGGGAGAUGUGGUAUGGGGUAACCCUGUAUGGACUGAAGGAUGAAGUCUACUCCAAAAGGCUUGAAGAGGACUUGAAGAGAGGGUGGGACAUACGAAUGCCAUGGUGGGAAGGUACAGUCCCACCCAUCCCUGAGUGGACCAGGCUCAUCCAUGACUGUCUGAAGAAGGAUCCAAAGAGAAGACCAAAGAUACAGGAGUGUCUGGACAGGAUAUCAGCUAUGAAGGUCUAGUAAAAACUGGGAACAACACCUAAAUAUCUAAGCAGAUAUUGGGAGGGAAGAUCAUUGAUAUACCGGUACUGUUUUUUUUUUAACCGGCCACUUUUGCUGGCAUAGUGGAAUGUCUAAUCUCUGCAAACCCAAAGAAGUACUAGUAGGAAUUUCAAAACAUUACAAUCUUUCCUAGGUCCUCCUAACAUCUGCUUGGAUAUUAAAUGGAUUCUGGAAAUGAGACCGUAAGUCCAUCGAAGUCAUAAUGAAAUGUACAUUGUGUCAAUCACUAGGUAAGGCCUUAUGAACGUAACUUUCUGGAUAUCCAAGAAUGUGUACCUUAACUUACAAAAGGCAAAGACAGUAUAUAAAUUGAAUUGUAAAAAGAUGUGUACAUGCAUAUGUUUGUUGAAUACUACACAUAAUCAGAAAACGUUGUACUUUGGUGACAUGUUCAUAAGCUUAGUUGAAAAGAGUUGCUAUCGGAUGUAAUGUUGUAAUGAUACUGUGUAGCUGAGUCUCAUUGUUGUACAUAUGCUAAAUGGUAGAUUGAAAUCAUAACUCUAAUAAGCCUUGUAUCUGUAGUAUUCUUUUUACAGGACUCAUUUAAAAAUUUGGUACAUAAGAAAGAAUAACAUAAAAGGUAUGACAUCUGACCAUGAGAACAAAGUUCAGAUCAGGGUAGUGAGUUGCAGUUAGUACUGGGUAGUGAACAUCGAACACUUGAUUCGAUAGAAUUUGACAACAUUGAAAAAAGUAUCAUAAAGAUAAAAGCAGCCAAAGAUUUUCUCAGAUUACAAUGCCCACUGCUAAUCAUAACAAGAAUACAUUGUACAAUAUACGUAUAAACUAUUAAGUAUGUAAUCAGAUACAAUUGGUCAUUUCAGUCACACUGGGGCUGCAAAUUGCACUACCUUGUCAAGUUUAAGUUGCUCAUAUUAUAUUUUAGUUGCAUU